Nomia melanderi (Alkali bee) is the source of this 3086-nucleotide non-coding RNA. The record is from RefSeq and is a predicted model, not a curated record. Lineage: Eukaryota; Metazoa; Arthropoda; Insecta; Hymenoptera; Halictidae.
UAAACUGCGAGCGGAAAUCGCAGGUAGCCCGUGGGCCGCCAGUUGCCCGAAGGCCCUGUAAGAAGGAACAGUGAUAACUCUUGCACGGUGCACCCUGUGUAUUCCCAUAGAUCGGUGACAGUGUCCAGCAACGGGGGGAGUUUUAGAUUACAUCUAUUUCCAUUCUGCGAGCGGGACUGUGGAAUUUAAGUUUCGACGGGCUGACACGACGAUUACAAGAAACAAUGGAACGAUUCAGAUUUCCGUUUUAUUGCAUUCAGAAGACCCUUGGAAGCCGCCGACGCACGAGAAUCCGCGGUCCAGCUAACAAUCGCGUCGGUAAUUAUCAAACAUUGCACGGGUUUGCUAUUGCACGACUUGUGUGUGUUAAUUAUUGCACUGUUCAGUUCCUCGUUCCCUCUUAACCCGUUUGGCACUUGUGUCGUCUUCCCGAGUCGACUGGAUUCAACCCUUCGCGUCCUGAAUGUACUUCGCCGCACCGUUUCCGAGAAAACACGAACGCGAGUGUCUCUGAAUUCUCCGUUCCAAUGCAAUCUAAUUCAAAUGACAUGCAUACCCUAACAACGAAUAAAACGUACGCGUUACUCAACAGUAGAACUACCAGACGUCUCAAUAACUCCACAAUUUUUCUCUUACAAUCAUCCAAAUUAGAAUCCUCCCAAAACUUAAAAUCCAUUGAUAUACUUUUACAAACAGAACAGUAGAAGCCUCUUUGAAACCAAAUAUAUUCGACAAACUCCAAGAAUAAUUCCAAUUUCUAUAAGAACCUCUAAAUAAUCCUCUUCAUUCGCUCGGUAGUCCUAGUGUUCAAAGCAUCUCAAUAAAGACAACAACAACAAAUAAGAUACAAAUCAUUCAGGACACAAAGGGUCGCCAAAGCUUCUGUUGACACUUUCAUUUGCUCGUUUCAGUCGGAUCGAAGCUAUGCCAAGGAUCAAGACCGAUCCUCCCGAGGAUCCAAGACGAUCGCGGGUUAAGAACGACCGCGAUCCGUCCCCGAGGAUCUUCGGAAGCGGAGCUCCUCGCGCCGGAACGUUUGGCUCACGCACACGCGGCGCCGCUCGCAGCCUCCGCCGCCCUGAUUCACCGAAGACACCUCCAAUCACAACGGCGAUGAUCGAUGCGACGAUCGGACGACUCGGGACGAGCCUCCAGUCCGCCGAGAGGGAACAACCUCGUCGUCCGACCGCUCGAUAUCGCGUCCAAGGUACUGCUCCCGGUUAGCUGCUGCUGCUGUUUUUGUUAUGCUGUUGUGUUUGCUGGCUGGAUCCUACGGAAUCUAGAAGUCUAACGGCUGAUCGGCGGACCCCUCGAGGUCCUGGGCGGAGUCCGUGCCGCCGUCUUCGUCGUCGUCCAGGUCCACGCUGUUGGUCUUCAGGCCGCCGUUGCUGAUCUUGUUGACGAUCGUGUCUGGAAUGCGAUUGUAGCGUUGGUCAAUGGUGUCUCGAGGUUCUCGUACGCGUUGAAACUUAGGCAUCGCUACAAUGUUGAGUCUUCCAAAGUUUUAUGAUACAUGUUGCACUCAGAAUAAGCGAGAAAGGCUCAAGCUUGUAGCGGUGUCCGCAAGUUUCAAUGGAUGAGGGUCUUUAGAGUACUUAAGAUAUUAUUUAACACGUUGAAUGCCGCACAAUUUUGUAAAGCAAUAUACAAAAUGUGUAAUCUGAUUGCAUUAUUAUUGUUACACGUUCUAGCUGAAUGUCACGGAAUUAGGUAAUGUUAUUUGUAUUAUAGAAAUGAUAGAAACAAAGAAUUGUUUCUAAAUAAUCGUUUCACUGAACUACAGUAAUUCUGAGAAAAAUGAUUGCCUACAAAAAUUGUGCGUACCAUAAAUGGUACACGUGGUAUACAACGUGUUAGAUAGUGAGCAGUAGACGGAGCAGACAAGCGAUAGAUAGUUCCUAGGAACAUAGUCGAGGGUAAUAUCUGUUCAGCGACCUUGGGCGAACGUUUUCUGCCGGGAGGAAUGCGAAGCUGGAAUAUUGCGAGUUCGCUGCGGCGUGUAAUGUUCCAAACGCUGACUAUCGUCGAGCGAUCGUCAAACUUACCGCAGUCUGGUUUGCUGCCACGUGUUCUGGUACCGGCGAACUCGACGCCAUGGGGGUCGACGCACCAGCAAAGACCGAGGCCACGAUUGCAUUGGGUGCUUCGGUAAUAGCCUCUUGAGUCGCAGGCGGGCGCCACGUCGGGGGAUAAUCGUUUACGGACGGCGGCGCACGGACGCUCGGCUUUUGAGAAACAUCCGCACCAUUCGGGACCGUUCACGAAGAUGUCUCUGAAAUGGACGAAUUAAAAAUACUUCACUGACAAUUUUAACUCUUCCCGAGAAGCACUUCGUCUUUGACGAUGGACAGUGCGUCAGUGUUCUUCGAGUCAAGUGUAUAUAGAUUAACAUUAGAACUACCGAUCUUUUCAAAAUGUCUUUAUAAUUUAAGUGAUAUAAAUAUAAUGUAAAAUGUCUUUUGAAUUUGUUGAGAUUUCAACUGGCUUAUAUUUCAGUUUAUUACUGAAUUAAUUUCAUUAAUAAUUUCUUAAGGAAGUCUCUGUACCUUUGCAGUAAUUGUAAGAGAAGAAAUUAGGAAUUGGCCAUUUUCACAUAUCUGGUAGUUCUAGUGUUAUAUAGCACUUUGUUUAUUUGAAACUCGAGAACCACUGAAAUUGUACUUUUAUAAAAAUACUUCUGUAGUUGAAAAGAAUUUGAACAUAGAGGUUUCGUUUUUGUACUAGUAUCAUUGAUGUCAGUCUUUGUCUGCGACAUUCAAACUCGCAUCGGAAACAAUUACACAGUAAUCAAAUUGAGUGCGACGUUUCUGCGUAAUGUGUUCCAUCUCGAUAAAGUACCUGCUGUAUCUGAGCAAUAAAGGUCGCGCAGUAAAGCAGAGAGUAAAGCGGUUAGUUAAGUAGUAAACUGACUUGUAUACGCAAACGACGAGAAGAGAGAUUGAUAUUAUAUGGCGAGUAUGUGUAUAUGAUCCCAUGACCUGCUGAGUAUGGUCAUAACCAGUUCACCCUCUGACUGCCACGUCACUCAAAUAUAGAUGAAACCAUUUCUUAUAUACACUACAUUAAUUUCCUUAGUAACCCAACGA